GGGGAUGUAGCUCAGUGGUAGAGUGCUUGCCUAGCAUGUGCAAGGCCCUGUAUUCGCUUGAGUUCAUUUGUGGCUUUAUGUACUAUCAUCUUCA
RNAcentral lists this transfer RNA (94 nucleotides) under Heterocephalus glaber (naked mole-rat). It matches the Rfam family "tRNA". From Rfam's summary of the family: Transfer RNA (tRNA) molecules are approximately 80 nucleotides in length. Their secondary structure includes four short double-helical elements and three loops (D, anti-codon, and T loops). Lineage: Eukaryota; Metazoa; Chordata; Mammalia; Rodentia; Bathyergidae. The record is from Rfam by way of RNAcentral.